RNAcentral lists this ribosomal RNA (699 nucleotides) under Proasellus parvulus. Its description in RNAcentral is "partial 28S ribosomal RNA". It matches the Rfam family "Eukaryotic large subunit ribosomal RNA", at positions 386 to 873 of the family's 3401-position model. The record is from RNAcentral. Lineage: Eukaryota; Metazoa; Arthropoda; Malacostraca; Isopoda; Asellidae.
CGAGGUUAAAGCGGAUGUACGUACGUAGCCGAAAAGGGGGGCUCAUCUCCUCGAGCCUCCAGCGGUCGUGGCGUUCGGACCGUCGCCGUCCUUCCCGGCUUUACGCUGGGUUACUGGACGCCGUCGACGGCCGUCGCGGCGGCGGACUCGGAGGAUAGGGGGGUGUAUUUCCCUCCUCAGUAGGCGGUCGCGGCCGCUCGAGAGUUGUCUAAGGUCCUGGGAUUGUAUCGGGAACCGCCCGGUUGCCGGCUCGCCCGGACGCCGGCGGGGACGCUAAUCCCUUAAAAUAAUCUGGCGGACUCUCGGACGGUGUUACUUUAGCGACGACGCGGAGGAGACCAAAUCCCCGGUCGUACGCGGCCGUAACGCGAUCGUUCAUCCGUCCCGUCUUGAAACACGGACCAAGGAGUCUAACACGUACGCGAGUCAACGGGUUGGCUAAACCCCGAGGCGCAACGAAAGUGAAAAAUCGGGGAGAAAACAAAAAAAAGAGGGAUUCGUUCCUCUUAUUUCUCCCCGAAUUGGGUCGAUCCGUGCUCCCCUUUAAAGCGGGGACCGGCGCAGACCCGGGGCUCGCCGCUACCUCCUCGAUUUUUAUUUUCGAGGCGGGCGGCGGGCACCUAGAGCGUACGCGCUAGUACCCGAAAGAUGGUGAUCUAUGCUCGGCCAGGAUGAAGCCAGAGGAAACUCUGGUGGAGG